GGUAAAAUGGCUGAGAGUAAGCGGUAAGCUGUAAACUUAUUAACGAAUUAAAUUCUUUUACC
Molecule: transfer RNA, 62 nt
Filed under: Hemisodorcus rubrofemoratus
Lineage: Eukaryota; Metazoa; Arthropoda; Insecta; Coleoptera; Lucanidae
Description: tRNA-Tyr
Rfam family: tRNA
About the family: Transfer RNA (tRNA) molecules are approximately 80 nucleotides in length. Their secondary structure includes four short double-helical elements and three loops (D, anti-codon, and T loops).
Source: RNAcentral